CAGUCGCCACGGUAAUACGUAGGUCCCGAGCGUUGUCCGGAUUUAUUGGGCGUAAAGGGAGCGCAGGCGGUUUAGUAAGUCUGAAGUUAAAGGCAUUGGCUCAACCAAUGUAUGCUUUGGAAACUGUUAGACUUGAGUGCAGAAGGGGAGAGUGGAAUUCCAUGUGUAGCGGUGAAAUGCGUAGAUAUAUGGAGGAACACCGGUGGCGAAAGCGGCUCUCUGGUCUGUCACUGACGCUGAGGCUCGAAAGCGUGGGUAGCGAACAGGAUUAGAUACCCGUGUAGUCCCUGUCUCUUAUACA
This 301-nucleotide ribosomal RNA is filed under the name uncultured bacterium. RNAcentral's name for it is "partial 16S ribosomal RNA". It matches the Rfam family "Bacterial small subunit ribosomal RNA", at positions 509 to 808 of the family's 1533-position model. The record is from RNAcentral.